RNAcentral lists this ribosomal RNA (492 nucleotides) under uncultured bacterium. RNAcentral's name for it is "partial 16S ribosomal RNA". It matches the Rfam family "Bacterial small subunit ribosomal RNA", at positions 29 to 507 of the family's 1533-position model. The record is from RNAcentral.
AGUGAACGCUGGCGGUAGGCCUAACACAUGCCAGUCGAACGGCAGCACAGUAAGAGCUUGCUCUUACGGGUGGCGAGUGGCGGACGGGUGAGGAAUACAUCGGAAUCUACUUUUUCGUGGGGGAUAACGUAGGGAAACUUACGCUAAUACCGCAUACGACCUACGGUUGAAAGCAGGGGAUCUUCGGACCUUGCGCGAUUGAAUGAGCCGAUGUCGGAUUAGCUAGUUGGCGGGGUAAAGGCCCACCAAGGCGACGAUCCGUAGCUGGUCUGAGAGGAUGAUCAGCCACACUGGAACUGAGACACGGUCCAGACUCCUACGGGAGGCAGCAGUGGGGAAUAUUGGACAAUGGGCGCAAGCCUGAUCCAGCCAUACCGCGUGGGUGAAGAGGGCCUUCGGGUUGUAAAGCCCUUUUGUUGGGAAAGAAAAGCAGCAGGUUAAUACCCCGCUGUUCUGACGGUACCCAAAGAAUAAGCACCGGCUAACUUCGUG